This 90-nucleotide unclassified non-coding RNA is filed under the name Pseudomonas lini. The record is from RNAcentral. Lineage: Bacteria; Pseudomonadati; Pseudomonadota; Gammaproteobacteria; Pseudomonadales; Pseudomonadaceae.
UGUGGGAGCGAGCCUGCUCGCGAUGACGACGUGUCAGUCAACAUUGAUGUUGAAUGUGAGUCCGCUAUCGCGAGCAGGCUCGCUCCCACG